RNAcentral lists this transfer RNA (67 nucleotides) under Marmota monax (woodchuck). RNAcentral describes it as "tRNA.Ala". It matches the Rfam family "tRNA". Rfam says of the family: Transfer RNA (tRNA) molecules are approximately 80 nucleotides in length. Lineage: Eukaryota; Metazoa; Chordata; Mammalia; Rodentia; Sciuridae. The record is from RNAcentral.
GGUUGUGGCUCAGUGGCAGAGCGCUCGCCUAGCAUGUGUGAGGCCCUGGGUUCAAUCCUCAGCACCA